GAUGAACGCUAGCGGCAGGCCUAAUACAUGCAAGUCGAACGGGAUUGCGGUAGUAGCUUGCUACUACUGCAUGAGAGUGGCGCACGGGUGCGUAACGCGUGAGCAACCUACCCAUAUCAGGGGGAUAGCCCGGCGAAAGUCGGAUUAACACCGCAUAACAGCAACAGUUCGCAUGUUCAGUUGAUUAAAUAUUUAUAGGAUAUGGAUGGGCUCGCGUGACAUUAGCUAGUUGGUAGGGUAACGGCUUACCAAGGCAACGAUGUCUAGGGGCUCUGGGAGGAGCAUCCCCCAGACUGGUACUGAGACACGGACCAGACUCCUACGGGAGGCAGCAGUAAGGAAUAUUGAUGAAUGGGCGCAAGCCUGAACCAGCCAUGCCGCGUGCAGGAGGACUGCCCUAUGGGUUGUAAACUGCUUUUAUCAGGGAAUAAACCCCUUUACGAGUAGAGGGUUGAAUGUACCUGAAGAAUAAGGAUCGGCUAACUCCGUG
RNAcentral lists this ribosomal RNA (490 nucleotides) under uncultured bacterium. RNAcentral describes it as "partial 16S ribosomal RNA". It matches the Rfam family "Bacterial small subunit ribosomal RNA", at positions 28 to 507 of the family's 1533-position model. The record is from RNAcentral.